RNAcentral lists this ribosomal RNA (468 nucleotides) under uncultured bacterium. RNAcentral describes it as "partial 16S ribosomal RNA". It matches the Rfam family "Bacterial small subunit ribosomal RNA", at positions 28 to 507 of the family's 1533-position model. The record is from RNAcentral.
GACGAACGCUGGCGGCGUGCUUAACACAUGCAAGUCGAACGGAAAGGCCCUGCUUUUGCGGGGUGCUCGAGUGGCGAACGGGUGAGUAACACGUGAGUAACCUGCCCUUGACUUUGGGAUAACUUCACGGAACUCGGGCUCAUAUCGGAUAUGAGCUCCUGCUGCAUGGUGGUGGUUGGAAAGUUUCGGCGGUUGGGGAUGGACUCGCGGCUUAUCAGCUUGUUGGUGGGGCAGUGGCUUACCAAGGCUUUGACGGGUAGCCGGCCUGAGAGGGUGACCGGCCACAUUGGGACUGAGAUACGGCGCAGACUCCUACGGGAGGCAGCAGUGGGGAAUAUUGCACAAUGGGCGGAAGCCUGAUGCAGCGACGCCGCGUGCGGAAUGACGGGCUUCGGGUGGUAAACCGCUUUCGACUGUGACGAAGAGUGAUUGACGGUAAUGGGUAAAGAAGCACCGGCUAACUACGUG